This 490-nucleotide ribosomal RNA is filed under the name uncultured bacterium. RNAcentral's name for it is "partial 16S ribosomal RNA". It matches the Rfam family "Bacterial small subunit ribosomal RNA", at positions 30 to 507 of the family's 1533-position model. The record is from RNAcentral.
AUUGAACGCUGGCGGCAUGCCUUACACAUGCAAGUCGAACGGCAGCAUGAUCUAGCUUGCUCGAUUGAUGGCGAGUGGCGAACGGGUGAGUAAUACAUCGGAACGUGCCCUGUAGUGGGGGAUAACUAGUCGAAAGAUUAGCUAAUACCGCAUACGACCUGAGGGUGAAAGUGGGGGACCGCAAGGCCUAAUGCUAUAGGAGCGGCCGAUGUCUGAUUAGCUAGUUGGUGGGGUAAAGGCUCACCAAGGCGACGAUCAGUAGCUGGUCUGAGAGGACGAUCAGCCACACUGGGACUGAGACACGGCCCAGACUCCUACGGGAGGCAGCAGUGGGGAAUUUUGGACAAUGGGCGAAAGCCUGAUCCAGCAAUGCCGCGUGUGUGAAGAAGGCCUUCGGGUUGUAAAGCACUUUUGUCCGGAAAGAAAUGGCUCUGGUUAAUACCUGGGGUCGAUGACGGUACCGGAAGAAUAAGGACCGGCUAACUACGUG